Chinchilla lanigera (long-tailed chinchilla) is the source of this 761-nucleotide long non-coding RNA. RefSeq lists it as uncharacterized. The record is from RefSeq and is a predicted model, not a curated record. Lineage: Eukaryota; Metazoa; Chordata; Mammalia; Rodentia; Chinchillidae. The transcript is spliced from 2 exons.
CCUGAGGGCAAGAGCCUCCCUGGAAGGGAACAAGGAUGAGGACACUUCGCAAGGUCUCCAAGUCUUUGGGAGAACUUGGCAAGAGGGAAAAGUGAUUAAUUAGGGAGAAAGAGUACAGUCAUUUCUUUGAAGAGUGAGUGGCCUAGCAUCCCAAGUAAAGUAGUGUUGAAAGAGCCAUUGUAAAGGGUUGGGCUGCUUUCCAAAAGGCAGUCCAAGUUCUCUUUGGAUCGUGGGUGCUGACUGAACUGUGGAAACAAGCUCGAUCUGCGCUGCUGCUGCUGCAUAUUAUGAAAGUGUGGUGAAAGACUUCUGCAACUUGAGCUAUGUCCUUUGGACACAGGGAGGUACACGGAGCGAUGCCUGGUCCUUGCCUCUUCACUUGUCGUCCUUACUUCCAUACUGAUUCUGGAGGAACCAGAGAAGAAUAAUAAAAGGGAAAGAAGAAAAACAGCAACAACAAGGAAAAGUACUAAAGACAUAGACCACUUCCUCUACUUUUUGUUUUUCAAAGGGUUCUGAGGCCAAGUCUGUCCUGGUUUGAGGGAAAAGGAAUAAACUUUGAAUUGAAUGAGAAACACAAAUUUGCUAAUAAAUUAAAUGAGGUCUUUCAAUAUCUGAAAUGAUCAUAGAUCUAAAAGUGACACAAAAAGUUAUAAAAUCUUUUAUGUUAAUUAUACACUUUGGUUUGUGACAAUUCAUUGAACUAUAUACAUAGGAUAUGGACACUUUUCUGUAUUAUAUUUCAAUAAAAAUUUAUUUUU